GGCCAACCCAGGGGAGCUCAGGUGCAUGCAGUGCAGCUGAAUGACCGGAAGGGAUAGAGCCAGGAUCCACCCCUUCCCAGACCUCAUUUAAGGGCCGGCAGUGGAAGCAAAAACAUCUGUGUACUCGAGUCCUCCUGAAGAGAAUCCUUGUCUUGGCCUGAGUAGAGAGAGCACUUGCAGAACUGGUAGCUGUUUCCUGUUGAUUGUGCUUCGUGAAAUCAGUUCCUAUACAUCUUCAACUGUGCGCUGUCUUUAUCUUGAACUGAAGCAAACAGGAAAGUUUCCCAUUAGAAUGCAACUCCGAUGGACUGGAUAGCUGUGUGCCCACCCUUGAAGCUGUAAGCAUCCUGGACACCCAUUCCAGAAGGAUGUUUUUGUCAGAUGGAGAUUCCACUUUAGGAAAAUAUUAAAACAAAGAUUUCAAAGGGGCUUCAGAAAAUGCUUAAAGGCCGUAGACCAAAUGCUGUUUUGCUGUCUGAAGAGAUCUCAGCAAAGGGGCAGUAGUUAAAGAGGAACGAUUACAUUGUAAAAAGCCAUAAAACCUUCCAGGAUUCAGAGUCUCAGGGGAUCUUACCUAUCCCAGAUGAGCAUUGGUCAACAGCCUGGAUUCCAUAUGUCUCGAGACCAUGGGAGGUUUGAAUGACAGAAUUUGAGCCUGGGGACAAAGAAACCGGGACGAAAACCUUGCUGCUUCACUUCCCCUCACUAGCAGUGCAUUGCAUUGUUGCUGAAAUGCAUGCAAGCAUCUGGAAUUUAGCUCCUGUCUCAGUUGCCAUCUGUUCAGGCAGUAGGGAGGCGAUAAGAGGUUUGUUUCUUGGUGUCCACAGGCUAAUCUAGAUACACCCAGUCUAAUCAUUUUUAGUAGAGUCAAUUCCUGCUGAUUGAUUUCUUGUAUACUUUACAGAUUGUUUCUAUUUUCUUGAAACACCACUAUAUGAAUUUGAACAUGCCGUAUAGUCAGUGAUAGACAAUACCACUUUGACAUCUUCAGUUGUCUGCACUUUAAUUUACUGGCUACUCUUAUUCCUCUUUGCUUAUGGCUCC
RNAcentral lists this long non-coding RNA (1044 nucleotides) under Gallus gallus (chicken). The record is from RNAcentral. Lineage: Eukaryota; Metazoa; Chordata; Aves; Galliformes; Phasianidae.